GUAUUAGUAUGGGUGCACAUCAGUUUCGACAUAUAAGUGGUCCAAUGGAAUUAUAUCUCACCAGACAAACUGUCGUGGAGCCGUACAUAGUUCCAUUUCAAAUGCCGCCAUUCCCAAAACAUAUAUUCUUGAGUCUUGCAGAUAUUGCCGAACUACCAAAUAGGACUUUAGUUGACAUUAUGGCUAUUGUAGUCCACUUAGAUAUAAUUCAUCGCACAAUGUGGGGUCCAUUCAGGAAGAUUGUUGUCAUGGAUGCCAGGUGGUCUCUACAUGCCAUUAAAGUUUGGGGUGACUUGCUAAACAAAAAUGCACUUCGCUGGGUGUUGGCUAAGGAGAAUUGUAGCAUAAUAAUUGG
Molecule: unclassified non-coding RNA, 355 nt
Filed under: Zea mays
Lineage: Eukaryota; Viridiplantae; Streptophyta; Magnoliopsida; Poales; Poaceae
Description: misc RNA Zm00001eb315070
Source: RNAcentral